ACUCCACAUACGCAUCCUUUGCUGAGGAUACGGUUAACGGAGCGAAAGCGACGUUCAACCGCAAAAGAAGCAGAGGGGGCUUAGUGGUGGGGUGACUGCGUACCUUUUGUAUAAUGGGUCAGCGACUUAUAUUCUGUAGCAAGGUUAACCGAAUAGGGGAGCCGGAGGGAAACCGAGUCUUAAUUGGGCGUUAAGUUGCAGGGUAUAGACCCGAAACCCGGUGAUCUAGCCAUGGGCAGGUUGAAGGUUGGGUAACACUAACUGGAGGACCGAACCGACUAAUGUUGAAAAAUUAGCGGAUGACCUGUGGCUGGGGGUGAAAGGCCAAUCAAACCGGGAGAUAGCUGGUUCUCCCCGAAAGCUAUUUAGGUAGCGCCUCGUGAAUUCAUCUCCGGGGGUAGAGCACUGUUUCGGCUAGGGGGCCAUCCCGGCUUACCAACCCGAUGCAAACUGCGAAUACCGGAGAAUGUUAUCACGGGAGACACACGGCGGGUGCUAACGUCCGUCGUGAAGAGGGAAACAACCCAGACCGCCAGCUAAGGUCCCAAAGUCAUGGUUAAGUGGGAAACGAUGUGGGAAGGCCCAGACAGCCAGGAUGUUGGCUUAGAAGCAGCCAUCAUUUAAAGAAAGCGUAAUAGCUCACUGGUCGAGUCGGCCUGCGCGGAAGAUGUAACGGGGCUAAACCAUGCACCGAAGCUGCGGCAGCGACGCUGAUGCGUUGUUGGGUAGGGGAGCGUUCUGUAAGCCUGUGAAGGUGGCCUGUGAGGGUUGCUGGAGGUAUCAGAAGUGCGAAUGCUGACAUAAGUAACGAUAAAGCGGGUGAAAAGCCCGCUCGCCGGAAGACCAAGGGUUCCUGUCCAACGUUAAUCGGGGCAGGGUGAGUCGACCCCUAAGGCGAGGCCGAAAGGCGUAGUCGAUGGGAAACGGGUUAAUAUUCCCGUACUUGGUGUUACUGCGAAGGGGGGACGGAGAAGGCUAUGUUGGCCGGGCGACGGUU
RNAcentral lists this ribosomal RNA (997 nucleotides) under Salmonella enterica. Its description in RNAcentral is "partial 23S ribosomal RNA". It matches the Rfam family "Bacterial large subunit ribosomal RNA", at positions 1 to 1503 of the family's 2925-position model. The record is from RNAcentral. Lineage: Bacteria; Pseudomonadati; Pseudomonadota; Gammaproteobacteria; Enterobacterales; Enterobacteriaceae.